UACGUAGGUGGCAAGCGUUGUCCGGAAUUAUUGGGCGUAAAGCGCGCGCAGGUGGUUUAAUAUGUCUGAUGUAAAAGCCCACGGCUCAACCGUGGAAGGUCAUUGGAAACUGUUAAACUUGAGUGCAGGAGAGAAAAGUGGAAUUCCUAGUGUAGCGGUGAAAUGCGUAGAGAUUAGGAAGAAUACCAGUGGCGAAGGCGACUUUCUGGACACAAACUGACGCUGAGGUACGAAAGCGUGGGGAGCGAACAGG
Molecule: ribosomal RNA, 253 nt
Filed under: uncultured bacterium
Lineage: Bacteria
Description: partial 16S ribosomal RNA
Rfam family: Bacterial small subunit ribosomal RNA
Source: RNAcentral